AGGCACAGGGAGUGAUGGUCCAUGAACUACAUAGUGAGAUGAUAAGACUGGUCAAGAGAUACUUGGGCUACAUUGUUCCAGCUAGAUUGAUUGUCGAUACUCCUGUCAGUGAGGUUUCCUAAAAACAAGAGCACCAGCUGACUAAUGAGGAUCUCUUAAUUGAAGCAGAGGCCAGAGCAUUCCUCAAAAAUGAAGAAUUCUCCUCCGUGUCAGUGACAAGGAUAUAUUAGACAGUGAGAGUUUUCUAUGCAGAAGUCAUUGGGAAGAUGCUGAAGGUCUUUCCCUUACAAUCUCAGCUGCUUAAAGACUUGAAGGUACUGGACCCAGCCUCUCACCUGAAUGUCUCUCCUGAACAGUGGCAAGGCUAGGUUGCAUGUUUCCCCAACUGAAGUUUGAGGAUCCAGAUAAGUCGAGAGGGGAGUUCACAGACUACCAGGUCACAGACAGCAACAAGUUGUCCAAAGAACAGAGAGUUGACAGAUUCUGGGGCCUUGUAGGGAGGAAUGAGACCAGGUUCAGUGAGCUGGCUAGACUGAUGAAAGCAUUGCUCAUCAUCCCCCAUAGCAAUGCCUCUUCAGAGAGGAGCUUCAGCAUGGUGAAAAAAAUAGUUAGAGAAAAUCUCAUGAGCAUGAAUAACAGCAUUCUUUGCUCUCUCCUAUCCUGCAAAAUAAACCACACCAGUUUGGCCUCAAAGUAAACACCGUCCAAGAGGUCACUUAGAGCAGCUAAAUCUGCCACAUACAACUACAACACUUCAAAAGAAAAGUGAGCACAUAUUCAUGUCUACAAAACAUACUGUCAUACUGACCAAAGAGAGACAGUUAUUGAUGCUCAAGGAAUGAUGAAACAUUUCAAAAUGUGUUAAAUGUGUUUGUACUAGUGUUAAAAACUGCAGUGCAGUGGUU
Esox lucius (northern pike) is the source of this 905-nucleotide long non-coding RNA. NCBI's taxonomy places the organism in Eukaryota, Metazoa, Chordata, Actinopteri, Esociformes, Esocidae. The record is from Ensembl.